Molecule: long non-coding RNA, 928 nt
Organism: Vigna angularis (adzuki bean)
Lineage: Eukaryota; Viridiplantae; Streptophyta; Magnoliopsida; Fabales; Fabaceae
Exons: 2
Source: RefSeq, a predicted model, not a curated record
UUUGGGGCUGAGAGAAUUCCUAAGUUGAAUCUGAGAACUGUUACCUAAAAGCAUUGGACCAGAGAAGUUUUAGAGCUAAGUUUGGAGCCACGAGAAGGAAUUCUAAGGCACAGGAACGUCGGGGAACCGUUUGAAAGCAAGCUUAGGAGAAAACCAAGUCGGUGAUAUGCCGGUGGAGCAAGCCUUAGAUGGAGGAUCGACUGAAGAAUAGUUUUAAUAAGGAAACCUAUGUUUUUAUUUCUGUUUUAAGGUGUGGAGUGUAAUUAGUUUGAAUUAACAGUGAGGGUUUGUAUAAUAAUGAGGAAAACUCUUAUUCCUCCUUCUAUCAACUGUUCUAUUGUAUCAAUGAUGUAAGAACUCUAUUAUAGUUUGAUGCUAUAAUUAUUGGGAUGUUACAGAAGAAGGUAUAAGCGCGAUCUUGCUUGCGUUUGUGCCGCUAACUGUAGGUGUGAAUCUCGAUUCAGAGAAGACAUUCCAACGUUGCUCACGAUUCUAGGCGAAUUGACAUGGGAAUUGAAGAUCGCGACUUAGGGUUUUGAUUUUGGGCUUUUCCUGGAUCUUCUAUGUUGUCCUUGGUUACAGGUUUGAAUGGAGGCAACGCGUAGAGAUUAGAGGGACUCCGCAAAGACGAAGGCGCUGCGAUUCUGUGGUUUGUUUCUGGAUCUUCCUACGAGAAGAUGAACUCACGAGAGGAAGGUGAUGAGGCGCGAGGUGGUGGCGGCAUUAGGGCGCUUCUCCGUCACGGAUUGCAUGAGGUGGUGCUCCUAUGAAGAUGCUUCACGGUGGCGGCGACGACUUUGGCUAGUGCGAGGAUGAUUUCGACAUGUUUUAUUCAUUGGAUUGAAUUGGAAUAUAUACACUAUGGAUCUCAAUUGUUAGAAUUUGUGGCAUUAUAGUGUUACAUGGCUUCACAUUGCUUUCUUCGUUA